RNAcentral lists this ribosomal RNA (1214 nucleotides) under Proteus mirabilis. RNAcentral describes it as "bacterial LSU rRNA". It matches the Rfam family "Bacterial large subunit ribosomal RNA", at positions 1 to 1249 of the family's 2925-position model. The record is from RNAcentral. Lineage: Bacteria; Pseudomonadati; Pseudomonadota; Gammaproteobacteria; Enterobacterales; Morganellaceae.
GGGUUGUGAGGUUAAGCGAAUAAGCGUACACGGUGGAUGCCUAGGCAAUCAGAGGCGAUGAAGGACGUGCUAAUCUGCGAAAAGCGUCGGUAAGGUGAUAUGAACCGUUAUACCCGACGAUAUCCGAAUGGGGAAACCCAGUAUCCAAUGGAUACUAUCAUUAACUGAAUUCAUAGGUUAAUGAGGCGAACCGGGAGAACUGAAACAUCUCAGUACCCCGAGGAAAAGAAAUCAACCGAGAUUCCCCUAGUAGCGGCGAGCGAACGGGGAGCAGCCCAGAGUCUUAAUCAAUAGCAGUGUCAGGAGAACGGUCUGGAAAGUCCGGCAGUAAAGGGUGAUAGCCCCGUAUCUGAAGAUGCUGUUAUUGUGAACUCGACGAGUAGGGCGGGACACGUGUUAUCCUGUCUGAAUAUGGGGGGACCAUCCUCCAAGGCUAAAUACUCCUGAUUGACCGAUAGUGAACCAGUACCGUGAGGGAAAGGCGAAAAGAACCCCGGCGAGGGGAGUGAAAAAGAACCUGAAACCGUGUACGUACAAGCAGUAGGAGCCUCUUUAUGGGGUGACUGCGUACCUUUUGUAUAAUGGGUCAGCGACUUAUAUUCUGUAGCAAGGUUAACCGUAUAGGGGAGCCGUAGGGAAACCGAGUCUUAACUGGGCGAAUGAGUUGCAGGGUAUAGACCCGAAACCCGGUGAUCUAUCCAUGGGCAGGUUGAAGGUUGGGUAACACUAACUGGAGGACCGAACCGACUAAUGUUGAAAAAUUAGCGGAUGACUUGUGGAUGGGGGUGAAAGGCCAAUCAAACCGGGAGAUAGCUGGUUCUCCCCGAAAGCUAUUUAGGUAGCGCCUCGUGAACUCAUCUUCGGGGGUAGAGCACUGUUUCGACUAGGGGUCAUCCCGACUUACCAACUCGAUGCAAACUGCGAAUACCGAAGAAUGUUAUCACGGGAGACACACGGCGGGUGCUAACGUCCGUCGUGAAGAGGGAAACAACCCAGACCGCCAGCUAAGGUCCCAAAGUCAUGGUUAAGUGGGAAACGAAGUGGGAAGGCUCAGACAGCCAGGAUGUUGGCUUAGAAGCAGCCAUCAUUUAAAGAAAGCGUAAUAGCUCACUGGUCGAGUCGGCCCGCGCGGAAGAUGUAACGGGGCUAAACCAUGCACCGAAGCUGCGGCAGCGACACAAUGUGUUGUUGGGUAGGGGAGCGUUCUGUAAGCC